AUUGAACGCUGGCGGCAUGCUUUACACAUGCAAGUCGAACGGCAGCGCGGUCUUCGGACUGUAGGCGAGUGGCGAACGGGUGAGUAAUGCAUCGGAACUUGCCCCGUCGUGGGGGAUAGCCCGGCGAAAGCUGGAUCAAUUCCCCAUACGACCUGAUGUUGAGAGCGGGGGUUCGAAAGGCCUCUCGCUAUUGGAUCGGCCGUCGGCGGAUGAGCUAGUUGGUGGGGUAAAGGCUUACCAAGGCGGCGAUCGGUAGCCGGUCUGAGAGGGUGUACAGCCACAGUGGGAGUGAGAGGCGACACAGAGUCCGACGGGAGGCAGCGGUGGGGAAUGUUGGAAGAAGGGGGGAACACUGAACCAGCCAUGCCGCGUGGAGGAAGCAGGGCUGCGGGUUGUAUGAAGGUUUUGUUGGGGAAGACAUCCUCUGGGAUGAUACAAGGGGGGGAUGACGGUACCGGAAUAAGAAGCACCGGCUAACUACGUG
This 484-nucleotide ribosomal RNA is filed under the name uncultured bacterium. RNAcentral describes it as "partial 16S ribosomal RNA". It matches the Rfam family "Bacterial small subunit ribosomal RNA", at positions 28 to 507 of the family's 1533-position model. The record is from RNAcentral.